Small nucleolar RNA from Gambusia affinis (western mosquitofish), 140 nucleotides. Lineage: Eukaryota; Metazoa; Chordata; Actinopteri; Cyprinodontiformes; Poeciliidae. The record is from Ensembl.
GUACGAUGAUGAAAUCCAUGCGUGUCAACUGACUCUGUGAGCUGCUGGUGUUGGGAUUCUCUGGUUGGCGUUCUGCUGACCCGAGUUGUCUCUCCACCAGGGAACCAGAGACAUGAUCAGACGUUCAUGGUUCUGAUUAC